GCUGGCGGCGUGGAUAAGACAUGCAAGUCGGACGGGAUUACUUUUGGUAGCAAUACUAAGAGUGAUUCAGUGGCGAACGGGUGCGUAACACGUGGGCAAUCUGCCUUAAAGUGGGGGAUAGCUCGCCGAAAGGCGAAUUAAUACCGCAUGUGAUCAGGGGAGACAUCUUCCCGAAAUCAAAGGUGGCGCAAGCUACCGCUUUUUGAGGAGCCCGCGGCCUAUCAGCUUGUUGGUGAGGUAACGGCUCACCAAGGCGUUGACGGGUAGCUGGUCUGAGAGGACGACCAGUCACACUGGGACUGAGACACGGCCCAGACACCUACGGGUGGCAGCAGUCGAGAAUUUUUCUCAAUGGGGGAAACCCUGAAGGAGCGACGCCGCGUGGAGGAUGAAGGUCUUCGGGUUGUAAACUCCUGUCAUUUGGGAACAAGGUGCGCGCGUUAACUGCGCGCGCAUUGAUAGUACCAGAAGAGGAAGAGACGGCUAACUCUGUGCCA
Molecule: ribosomal RNA, 497 nt
Filed under: uncultured soil bacterium
Lineage: Bacteria
Description: bacterial SSU rRNA
Rfam family: Bacterial small subunit ribosomal RNA
Source: RNAcentral